UUGGGCUUUUCAAGGACAUUUGUGCUUGUUGCGGUGGGUUCUCAUAUCAGUAUAACAUUUGCCACACAUUUCCCUGUUGCCAUAUGUCCCUGGUGGGACACAUUUGCAUCUGUCACAGCAUGUCAUGCAAGCUCUCAAGCAUAGGUUAGUCCUUGAGUGUAAUUUGCACCUUUGUCCACAUAAUGGGAUGCAAUCUGCCAACAAAGUUGUCCAACAUGUUGUCAGAAAGAUAACAGAUAAGUUCCUUGAGUUUUGGUAAAUGAAAAAAUGAUGUUUUCUUUACCCUUUUUUGUCCUAACAGGUGGCAAUGGUGGACUUGGUGGCUUGUAAGGCGGUGCUGGAGUUGUUGGUGGCUUAACUGGAGGUGUAGGAACUGGGGGCUUAUAUGGGGGAGUUGGUGCUUUAGUUGGCGGUGCUGGUGCUGGAGUUGGUGCUUUGGUUGGGGGUGUUGGGGGCAUAUAUGGGGGAGUAGGGGCCUUGACUGGAGGUGCCGGUGCGGGAGUAGGGGGUUUAUAUGGGGGAGUAGGAGCCUUGGUUGGUGGUGCUGGUGCUGGGGGCUUAAAUGGUGGAGUUGGAGCCUUGGUUGGUGGUGCAGGAGCUGGGGGCUUAUAUGGUGGAGUAGGAGCCUUGGUUGGUGGUGCAGGAGCUGGGGGCUUAUAUGGUGGAGUAGGAGCCUUGGUUGGUGGUGCAGGAGCUGGGGGUUUAUAUGGUGGAGUAGGAGCCUUGGUUGGUGGUUUAUAUGGUGGAGUGGGGGCCUUGGUAGGGGGUUUAUAUGGAGUGGGGCCCUUAGUUGGGGGUGCUGGAGUUGGAGCCUUGUACGGCGGCACCGGAGUGGUGGGAG
This 841-nucleotide long non-coding RNA is filed under the name Gossypium barbadense (sea-island cotton). Its description in RNAcentral is "long non-coding RNA (GBAR_LNC018185)". Lineage: Eukaryota; Viridiplantae; Streptophyta; Magnoliopsida; Malvales; Malvaceae. The record is from RNAcentral.